ACAAGACUUGUCAACAUCUUGAUUAUUCUUCUUUUGAAGGAUAUAAAAACCUCAAAAGCUGUUCUACUUAAAAUUUUUUGAAGGUCGGUUUCGAAAUCAGCGCUUAAUUGUGCUUCAAAAAUUUUGGUCGUUAACAGAAGUUCACGACUUUCGUUUUAUUUUGUAAACUAGUGUAAUGAGUUUGUGAGUUGAAUGAGCCAAAAAAAAUAAAAUGGGUGAAAAUUUACGGAGAUAUGAUCAUUUUAGUUUCGUGGAUACCCGGGUACCCUGCCGGCAUUCUAUGGUUAAACAAACUUACUCACUGCCUUCAAUUACGUUUCGUUCCGUUAAUCUGCUCGAUUGAGUAAGCAUCCUUUCGGCCUUCCCUAAGGUUCUGUUAGCCUGCGAAAGAGUAUAAAUUGCGUUUUUCGAAGCAUCGACAAUAUCGUCGAGCUUACUCAGCUUAUCAGUGCGGCGUGCGCCGUCCAGCUAAAAGUGUAACGUCACUUCAGUCAUACUCCAGAGGGUGAUCAGCUAUCACAGGUUGGAUGCCGGCGCACGGAUGAUCAAACUUCCUGCAAUGGACCGGGAAGUACAUAGUGAUACAGAUGAAGCGGUCGCCGAGGGACGCCAUAAGGCGCUAGUCCAAGAGGUUCUGGGCGAAGAAAAUCAAAAUAUCAAUGCAUUAAAUGCUUCAAUCAGCCGGCGGGAAAGCCCAGUAGGUAGGGGGUUCAGGGGCAAGAUGGCCACCCUAAGCUUAGGCGCCUUGGGAGCAUACACUUUCAUUAGAAUAUGGCUGUUUAACAUUGACCCCCUUUGUUUCAUGUCUUUUCUAUCUUAUUAACACAAAAAAGCAUUUUAUUUUGCACUACGAAUCCAAAAUAAAUUCAUUUGAAAAAUGUUAUUUUCGACAUAGAAUUUUUGCCAUAUGGGGCAAGAUGGCCACCCCAUCGGGGCAAGACGGCCACAGAGCUAAAUUUUCACAAUUAGUGUGCUUUAAUCCCUAAUCAACGUUCAAUAAACCAAGGUCGAAUCAUCCGCAACGCUUUGCCUACAGAUGGUGUGGUAUUUGCCAACAUUUUCUUUAUGAUAAUGUUUGAAAUAAAAUUGAUAGAAAUUUCUUUGGAAAUGUUCUAUGAUUUGGUAUAUUUUUUUCAGAAAACUUGUUUCUCUCGAAACGAUUUAUCUGCAGAUACAUUACUACUCUUUUCACACAUUAUACUGUAAUUCAACGUCUUGUAACGAACCCUCUUAUGGCGGUUUUAGCUACGAUUUUCCAUCUCUGUACCAAAAUAUUCAAUGAAACCAAUCACGUUCAAGAGCAAAUAACUUCAAAGUUUUUCUGAGGUAUCAUCUACAUCGUAGUUAAUUUUAACAGCCGCAACUAAUAUGAAAAAGCAAUUUUCUGUGGUUUUGCAGUAUCUUUAAGCAUCAAUAACAGUUUUGAGGCUGCUUUAGAUUGAUUUUUGGAUGGCGACAUAGGCCUUACCACAGGUGGCCAUCUUGCCCCGAAUGAUUACGAUACGUUUAUCAUUUCUUAUAUGGCAUAAUCAAUUCAAAACUUUGAAAUUUUAUUGUUCAGGAUCAACAACAGUCACAUAUAGACAUCACUGAAAAUUAAAAAUAAUUUUUAAAACCAUGUUAUUUCAUUACUAAUCCUUAAAAUCAGAUGACCUGAUACUAUAAGAAAACACUGUUUUUGAACACUCAAACUUCAAACACUAUUUUAUGGUAGAUUUUUCAAACAAAUAGUAACUUUUUCGCACAUUAUAAACAUGACGCAUUGUUUAUAAUCACAACCCAUGCAGAAAAUAUUUUUGUGUUGCGAAUUUAUGCUUAAAACACAGGGUGGCCAUCUUGCCCCACAACCCCCUAUCCAGAUAACCGCGGUUACGGACUCAAUACACUCAAAAUAAUCCAAACGUCAUUGCCACGUGAAGAAUCACGUAAAUCGCUAGGAAUGAACUUUUUCUUAAAUUCACCUGAUAAAGGUAACAGUUACCGGCCGCUAAAUAAGAAUGAACUGCAGCUCCGAUCAUUUUUACUGUGGUUGACCUAUCUCACCUACGUGAAAAUCGCGUGCAUGCUUCAAUUCAUUCUGAUCGACUUCAUUCCAUGGUUCAUUCUGUGUUGUGAUAAAGUUUAAAGAUGGCUGCCAUUCAAAACAGACUUUAGUGGAGCGAUGUUUUACAAAACUUAUUUGAUAAUUUGGAAGGUAGGUUGGAUAUUUUUUCUGUUUAAUCUAUUCUUUAUAAUCCUCUUCCUUCACAGAGCAUGACUUUUUACAAAUACUUAAUCGCAAAAUGGGUAUGUGAGUUCAAAAUGUCACGAAGAAAUAACCGGCUGAUCUUGUGGAGAAAAAUCUAUCAUGAACAUUUUUUUGUUCGUUUAGAACUAAAGAGACUAUCGCUGACGACUACCUCGAUGAAGGCUUUUGUCUCCUCCUGUUGCCAUUUGCGAUCCUGCUUCCUCCUGCAGCGAUGGAACUACGCCGUAAAUCAAGAGCGUUCAUGAGCGCAUAACUAUUCGACUAUAUAUUUCGACCAUAUUAAUAACUUUCCUUUAGUUCAGCAAUAAAAGUCUUGUUAAUUUUA
Aedes albopictus (Asian tiger mosquito) is the source of this 2573-nucleotide long non-coding RNA. RefSeq lists it as uncharacterized. The transcript has 2 exons. NCBI's taxonomy places the organism in Eukaryota, Metazoa, Arthropoda, Insecta, Diptera, Culicidae. The record is from RefSeq and is a predicted model, not a curated record.